CUUCAACAGCUAAGAGGAAUUGCUUUAAAUGAAAUGAAUUAUUUUGAUUUUAGGAACUCUGUUGGACGCUAAAACAAUAGACUCAGUAGCUCAAUAGCAAAAAUAAUUAAAAUGAGUGUCAUCUACAGAGACCUUUUAUUCAGAGAUGAAGGUUAUUUUCCUCUCUCUGCAUUCAGCUGCGCCAGUGGGGCGGAGGAGCCCACGGCGGUCGCCAGGCUGUGCAUGGGGGAAACAGCCACCACGAGAUCCUGCAGCUGCUGUGGCAGAGCCUGCUGCCCAUCACUUGGAAAUAUUGCAGCGCUACCCAAGUAGAUGGGCAUUCCUAUCCAGAACCAAGGCAGAUACUGUGGCCUUUGCAAAAUCUGCCUUCUCAAAUCAGUUGUAUUUCCAAGAAGAAUUGUAUUUUCAACUCAGAUAUCUGUCCCAUCUGCACGUACCUGACUAUGUUCAAUUAGCAACUUUGACUUUGGCUGUCAGUCUUGAGUUUUUAUUCUUUAGGUAGGGCAUCGUUCUGGAGAAAGCUCAGGCUGGUUGAGCAUGGACAGCUCCAUGACCAAAGGUUGCCAGCAUAGCGGGGCUGGUCUCACUGCUCCUGUCACUGCCUUCAAAUUUGUGCCAACAGGUAAGUGAGAAGAAAUCUCCCUGGUCACAGCUACAAUGAACUGUAAA
This 669-nucleotide long non-coding RNA is filed under the name Zonotrichia albicollis (white-throated sparrow). RNAcentral describes it as "lncRNA (ENSZALG00000008955.1)". Lineage: Eukaryota; Metazoa; Chordata; Aves; Passeriformes; Passerellidae. The record is from RNAcentral.